This 539-nucleotide ribosomal RNA is filed under the name Genicanthus lamarck (blackstriped angelfish). Its description in RNAcentral is "partial 16S ribosomal RNA". It matches the Rfam family "Bacterial large subunit ribosomal RNA", at positions 1833 to 2571 of the family's 2925-position model. The record is from RNAcentral. Lineage: Eukaryota; Metazoa; Chordata; Actinopteri; Pomacanthidae.
CAAAAUUAAUAAAUAAGAGGUCUCGCCUGCCCUGUGACUAUAUGUUUAACGGCCGCGGUAUUUUGACCGUGCAAAGGUAGCGCAAUCACUUGUCUUUUAAAUGAAGACCCGUAUGAAUGGCACAACGAGGGCUUAACUGUCUCUUCUUUCAAGUCAAUGAAAUUGAUCUCCCCGUGCAGAAGCGGGGAUAUGAACAUAAGACGAGAAGACCCUGUGGAGCUUCAGGCACCAAAGCAGAAUAUGUCAAGUCCUCCAGACUAAUGAUUAAAACAACUUAUAACCUGCCCUAAUGCCUUCGGUUGGGGCGACCGCGGGGAAAUGAAUAACCCCCAUGUAGAAUGGAAGUACAGCUUCUACAACUAAGAGUCCCCACUCUAACCAACAGAACCUCUGACUAACAAGAUCCGGCAAUGCCGAUCAACGGACCAAGUUACCCCAGGGAUAACAGCGCAAUCCCCUUUUAGAGCCCAUAUCGACAAGGGGGUUUACGACCUCGAUGUUGGAUCAGGACAUCCUAAUGGUGCAGCCGCUAUUAAGGG